Long non-coding RNA from Carassius gibelio (silver crucian carp), 1216 nucleotides. RefSeq lists it as uncharacterized. The record is from RefSeq and is a predicted model, not a curated record. Lineage: Eukaryota; Metazoa; Chordata; Actinopteri; Cypriniformes; Cyprinidae. The transcript has 3 exons.
AAGAACUGGAAGAAGUACUGCCGGGCAGCACUCUAAUGUAUACCAUCUCCCACGGUCAUUGGGGCUAGGUACAGUGUCUAGUGUAGUGGGUAGUACAGCUGUUGCUUUGUUCCGUCCUUGGGACUGACUGUGAGUUGGUUUUUGCUUAGUCUACCGUCGGGGCGACGAUGCAGAAGCUAGGGGUGGAUUGUGAUAGGAUGAAUGAGGUAAGUGGCUGUGAUUGACACGUGUGAGCACCAAUCAGCAGCGAGUGCUGAGUAUUUCAGGACGUGUUUGGUUUAGCCUGUGAUGUGUCACAUCCGGACCCUCCCCUUUUCUUGUCUUGACGGUGGCUUUAGCCUGUCUGUUUUUCAUUUGUUGCUGUGGACUGUAUGAUUGCCUUUUUAGCUUUGCAGCGGGGUAUUUGAACACUGCGUGUCCAGCCGCGAACUGAUAGUAAGCUCAUCUACUCCCAUUGGGCUCAUUUGGAUUCUCCCUCUUUCAUCCUGGAGCUGGGGUCCCACAGGUGGAGGAUCUUUUGUGGUGGUGGUGCUGCUUCAACGUUUGCCGUGUUUGCCACUUUCUGAAGUGUGUGCGUGUGUGUGUGAUCGGAGUUCACGGUGUGGUGUGUAGAAGUGUGCUUUUGGAUAACUAGUGCUGGUCAUCACUCCGGAGCUGGGGUCCCACAGGUGGAGGAUCUUUUGUGGUGGUGGUGCUGCUUCAACGUUUGCCGUGUUUGCCACUUUCUGAAGUGUGUGCGUGUGUGUGUGAUCGGAGUUCACGGUGUGGUGUGUAGAAGUGUGCUUUUGGAUAACUAGUGCUGGUCAUCACUCCGGUGGGUAACCUCAGUCCUGUAAGUUUGUGUAUUUUGUUUCUUGGUUUUUUUUGUUUGUUUAUGGUGAGAGUAUAAACUGACUGUGUAAUGUUUUGUUUAUUGUUGGUUUGAAAUUGUUUCAAUUAAUUUAGUAUUUGAUUUUCUUUAAUGUGAAUCUGUUAUAAUUUUGUUUUCAUGGUCAUUGGGGAUUUGCUGAUAGCCAAUACACCCCAUGACUAGACCAUUUUAAGUGCUUUUAGUGUUUAAAUAAACUUUUUGUAUUUCUGAUAUCCAUGUUUUCCGCCUACCUUAAUUUAUGAGAAUCGGAUCUGUGUGACCUAAUAACAAACUUUGGGGUUAUUUCUAUUUCCCGGGUGAUCCGGGUGGCGUAGUCGACAAAUUCAAAUGUGUGUUUAACCUGUA